This 559-nucleotide long non-coding RNA is filed under the name Papio anubis (olive baboon). RNAcentral's name for it is "lncRNA (ENSPANG00000043161.1)". Lineage: Eukaryota; Metazoa; Chordata; Mammalia; Primates; Cercopithecidae. The record is from RNAcentral.
GGGAAAUGUGGCCCAACUUAUGGUCCAGCUUUAACCAGUGACUCUACUGUGCCUGGAGGGCUUGCUAAGAAGGAUCAUGAGACUGCUUCUGAUGCUAAUGGGAAAACGUCCUUUGAUCCUGAGUUAAGUGGGCUUCAUGUUGGAAUGGAUUAAUGUGGCAGGAAUGAACAUGUUCUUUUUUUUUUUUUUUUUUUUUUUUUUUUUUUUUUGAGACGGAGUCUCGCUCUGUCACCCAGGCUAUUUGCCUCUCCAGAUGUGCUCUGUUUUCACUCUGCCGUGUGCCUGACCUCUACCAUCUACACCAGGGGAUUUCCUUGCCCUCCAGCUUCCAGUUGGGUUUGGCCAAUGGGAAACCCAUCAGUUCUACGGAAUCUUGGUGUGGAAGCCUUCUUCUCUUGGGGUGUGUGCCUUUUGGGAUGAGGCUUUGGGAUCUCUUCCCUUACUGAUCUCCUUUUAGGUGGGUGAAGUACUUUUUCCUCAGAUCUCAUAAAAUCCAGUGCUGAUGAGUGACAUUAAUUUCAAUGAGAGUAUACUAUGAAUAUUUCAAUUUGCUUCUCCU